RNAcentral lists this non-coding RNA (230 nucleotides) under Clostridium argentinense. RNAcentral's name for it is "T-box sequence". It matches the Rfam family "T-box leader". Rfam says of the family: Uncharged tRNA acts as the effector for transcription antitermination of genes in the T-box leader family. T-boxes are found upstream of many aminoacyl-tRNA synthetase genes and some amino acid biosynthetic genes usually in Gram-positive bacteria. The anticodon of a specific tRNA base pairs to a specifier sequence within the T-box motif, and the NCCA acceptor tail of the tRNA base pairs to a conserved bulge in the T-box antiterminator hairpin. The record is from RNAcentral. Lineage: Bacteria; Bacillati; Bacillota; Clostridia; Eubacteriales; Clostridiaceae.
AGUUUUGCGUUGAAGGAGAAGAGUACAUAGAUAUAAAUUUUAAAGAGAGCCAAGGAUAGUGGAAACUUGGUAAAUUAAGCUAUGGAAGGAAGCUCUGGAGCUAUUAGUUGAAAGAAAUUUUUGGAGUAAACUAAUGGGAUUCUUCCCUUAAAGAGAAAUGAGUGGGUUAAUUGUACUAAUAAAUUAACCAAUGUAGGUGGUACCACGGAAGUAUGUCUUUCGUCCUAAGU